RNAcentral lists this ribosomal RNA (253 nucleotides) under uncultured bacterium. RNAcentral's name for it is "partial 16S ribosomal RNA". It matches the Rfam family "Bacterial small subunit ribosomal RNA", at positions 524 to 776 of the family's 1533-position model. The record is from RNAcentral.
GACGAACCGUGCGAACGUUGUUCGGAAUCACUGGGCUUAAAGGGCGCGUAGGCGGGCAUUCAAGUCGGUGGUGAAAUCCUCCAGCUUAACUGGAGAAGAGCUGUCGAUACUGGAUGUCUCGAGGGGUGCAGGGGUCUGCGGAACUUCGGGUGGAGCGGUGAAAUGCGUAGAGAUCGGAAGGAACGCCCGUGGCGAAAGCGAGGUCCUGGACGCCUACUGACGCUGAGACGCGAAAGCCAGGGGAGCAAACGGG